This 598-nucleotide ribosomal RNA is filed under the name Lodderomyces orthopsilosis. RNAcentral's name for it is "LSU rRNA". It matches the Rfam family "Eukaryotic large subunit ribosomal RNA", at positions 46 to 660 of the family's 3401-position model. The record is from RNAcentral. Lineage: Eukaryota; Fungi; Ascomycota; Pichiomycetes; Serinales; Debaryomycetaceae.
AAAAGCGGAGGAAAAGAAACCAACAGGGAUUGCCUUAGUAGCGGCGAGUGAAGCGGCAAAAGCUCAAAUUUGAAAUCUGGCACUUUCAGUGUCCGAGUUGUAAUUUGAAGAAGGUAUCUUUGGGUCUGGCUCUUGUCUAUGUUUCUUGGAACAGAACGUCACAGAGGGUGAGAAUCCCGUGCGAUGAGAUGUCCCAGACCUAUGUAAAGUUCCUUCGAAGAGUCGAGUUGUUUGGGAAUGCAGCUCUAAGUGGGUGGUAAAUUCCAUCUAAAGCUAAAUAUUGGCGAGAGACCGAUAGCGAACAAGUACAGUGAUGGAAAGAUGAAAAGAACUUUGAAAAGAGAGUGAAAAAGUACGUGAAAUUGUUGAAAGGGAAGGGCUUGAGAUCAGACUUGGUAUUUUGUAUGUUACUCUCUCGGGGGUGGCCUCUACAGUUUACCGGGCCAGCAUCAGUUUGGGCGGUAGGACAAUUGCAAAGAAAUGUGGCACUGCCUCGGUAGUGUGUUAUAGUCUUUGUCGAUACUGCCAGCCUAGACUGAGGACUGCGGCUUCGGCCUAGGAUGUUGGCAUAAUGAUCUUAAGUCGCCCGUCUUGACCC